Molecule: long non-coding RNA, 1329 nt
Filed under: Equus asinus (donkey)
Lineage: Eukaryota; Metazoa; Chordata; Mammalia; Perissodactyla; Equidae
Description: lncRNA (ENSEASG00005032155.1)
Source: RNAcentral
CAAAUUUCAACAAGUGAAGCUCGGGAGAAUUAUCCGGAUAUGUUUAUAUCCCACAUCAAAACACAGGACUAAUCCUCAAACAGGGAGCUGAUAGCAGAUACCAGGAACUCACCCUUUACGGCUGAGAUUCUCGAACUAAGGAAUUUAAAGCCAAGCUAAUACCAUUUGAAAGGUGAUGAAAGUUAGGACUUCGAUGAAAUGUACUUGAUUUAAGACACGUAAACUAUUGCCAAGUGAAUUCUGACGAGACUUCCCCAAAGCCUCCAGGUAAAAAAAAAUGAAAGAGGGACUAAAACCAAGUAAAAUUUCAAAUAUAAUUGAAGAUUGCCAUUAAAACUGAUGUGUUCCUAAUGAACUCAACAUCGGAGUCGGACGUGAUAGAGGGAAGCCAGCUGCCAUGUUGUGAGUGCCUUAUGGAGAAGUCCUCAUGGCAAGACAUUUAGGUCUCCAGUCAACAGCCACCUGAGUGAGACUGGAGAUGGUGGCAGCCCCCAGCUGGCACCUGAGAGACUCUGAGUCAGAAGCACUCAGUUAAGCCACACCCAGAUUCUUGACUCAUAGAACUUGUGAGAUAAUAAAUGUUUGUUGUUUUAAGCAACUGAGUUUGGGUGGUAAUUGGUUUAGCAGCAAUGGAUAAUCAACAGAGCAAGAAAAGAAAAGCGCACAGGCUUUGGAGUCAAGCAGAAAUUCACUAAAGCCUAACUGGACGAAUAUGACUGUGCAACAGUGGACACUAUCAAUGGACAAUCUAACCCCCUCGAGCCUCCACUUCCUCAACCGUGAAACUGUGAUAACAGUAAUUACCUUGCAGGAUUGUUCUCAUUGUUAAAUUGAAUAGCAUAUAGCAAGUGACUAGCGAAAGGCCUAAGAUACCUUGGGUGCUAAUCUAAUACUUCAUUUCUCUUUCCUCUCGCUUGGUGCUCCCUUUAAUCCUUUCUCUCUUCUUUUGUGCCGUUUAUUGAGCAAGGAGGUAUUUGAAAUAAUAGUGAAAGUGGAAAAUUUUGAGACCAACGGCGUUUAAGGAGACAGGAUAUAAUGGAAUGUCAAAUAUAAAGAAGCUAUCACUUGAUCUGAGGUGAGGAAACAAGGGAGAGGUACAGGAAAGGAAGAGAAGUCACCCCUAAAGAUACAUUUCUUGCCAACAGGUUUGUUUUUCUGAUUUCAUUACAGGGAGCGGAUGUAAAGAUAUGCAGGUGUUUAGUUACCUCUCCCCGAAAAACGGAUAUUCCCAGAAUGAUGAAUAAAAGAUGGUCUUAAUUUGCUGUGACUUUUCCCAUGGUGUAAUAUACACAAUGUCUUCUACCAACAGUUUCUGAAGCUAACUAAUUU